GCAGAAAAACGAGGGGUUGCAACUGCCACGCAGCAACUGCCACACAGAAGAAGGAGGGACUGCAACUGCCAUGCAGCAACUGCCACACAGAAAAAGGAGGGGUUGCAACUGCCACGCAGAAAAAGGAGGGGUUGCAACUGCCACGCAGCAACUGCCACGCAGAAAAAGGAGGGGUUGAAAAGGGAGUAGCUUCUGAUAUUCAGAAGCUAUUGGAAGAGAUGCUCAAAGAAGAAAAAAUUACCAUAAUCCAAUAAAGAAGAAGACCUGAGAUCCAGGAAGCAGAUGAUCUGAACUGCAGAGAAAGUUCAGGAAAGUUCCCUCAUUCAUGAUGAUGGGAAAUAACAGUAAAUUCUGUACAGCAGUCUUGGACAACAACCAAUCUAAACUGGCACAGUGCAGAGGCAAUCAACAGAGAACAUAAUAUUGAUAGAAUGCCUGACGCUUUUGAUUGUAUUCACAGGAAACAUAAACAAUUGGAAGACAGUUUAUGAAUGAAUUAGUGAUAAGCAUUUUUUUUCAACUUUUAUUUUAGAUUCAAGGGUACAUGUGCAGGUUUGGUGCCUGGGUAUACUGGGUGAUGCUGAGGUUUGUGUUACAAAUGAUCCCAUCAUCCAGGUACUGAGCAUGGUAUCCAGUAGUUAGUUUUUAACCCUUCUCCUGUCUCUCUCCUGGUGGUCCCCAGUUUCUACUGUUGCCAUCUUUAUGUCC
Homo sapiens (human) is the source of this 708-nucleotide long non-coding RNA. Ensembl annotates it as long intergenic non-protein coding RNA 2475. The record is from Ensembl. Lineage: Eukaryota; Metazoa; Chordata; Mammalia; Primates; Hominidae.